Molecule: ribosomal RNA, 604 nt
Filed under: Pseudogemmobacter blasticus
Lineage: Bacteria; Pseudomonadati; Pseudomonadota; Alphaproteobacteria; Rhodobacterales; Paracoccaceae
Description: bacterial SSU rRNA
Rfam family: Bacterial small subunit ribosomal RNA
Source: RNAcentral
AGUCGAGCGAGAUCUUCGGAUCUAGCGGCGGACGGGUGAGUAACGCGUGGGAACGUGCCUCUUGCUACGGAAUAGCCCUGGGAAACUGGGAGUAAUACCGUAUGUGCCCUUCGGGGGAAAGAUUUAUCGGCAAGAGAUCGGCCCGCGUUGGAUUAGGUAGUUGGUGGGGUAAUGGCCUACCAAGCCGACGAUCCAUAGCUGGUUUGAGAGGAUGAUCAGCCACACUGGGACUGAGACACGGCCCAGACUCCUACGGGAGGCAGCAGUGGGGAAUCUUAGACAAUGGGCGCAAGCCUGAUCUAGCCAUGCCGCGUGAGCGAUGAAGGCCUUAGGGUUGUAAAGCUCUUUCAGCGAGGAAGAUAAUGACUGUACUCGCAGAAGAAGCCCCGGCUAACUCCGUGCCAGCAGCCGCGGUAAUACGGAGGGGGCUAGCGUUGUUCGGAAUUACUGGGCGUAAAGCGCACGUAGGCGGACUGGAAAGUCAGGGGUGAAAUCCCGGGGCUCAACCCCGGAACUGCCUUUGAAACUCCCAGUCUUGAGUUCGAGAGAGGUGAGUGGAAUUCCGAGUGUAGAGGUGAAAUUCGUAGAUAUUCGGAGGAACACC